Octopus sinensis (East Asian common octopus) is the source of this 674-nucleotide long non-coding RNA. RefSeq lists it as uncharacterized. The transcript is spliced from 2 exons. The record is from RefSeq and is a predicted model, not a curated record. Lineage: Eukaryota; Metazoa; Mollusca; Cephalopoda; Octopoda; Octopodidae.
UGUGUUUUUCAUUAGCUUGUGAAUAUUUCCUCCUUAAUAGGAAUUUUUUCUUUUAAAUAUUUUUACUUUUUGUGCUUAUUUCAGUUCACUUUUAACCUGUAAUUCUUCUUAUCUCUCCUCACACCCAAAGCCAUUAUUUACAAUCAAAUAUCCUUUUAACACUGACUUCUUAUCAUUGAAGCCCAACUCUGUCCCCAUGUCAAUUGAAUGCCUUUUAACAGUGCCAUCAAAAGUUUAUAGCCCUAUAUUGUCUCAUUACGACUUGACCAGUUAUUUAACUGAAUCCUGAGAACUGCAUAAUUUUAUGUAGAUUUAUACAUUUUAUGCAGAUAGGUGAGAAUAUUUAAAAUACUCUUUUUACUUUUGUCUAUUCUAGGAAAGUUUGCUCUAGCUUGUUUUUACUUUUUGAUUUGAACUUCAAAUUGUUUCGUUUCUCUUUCUUCUGUACCCUUAGCAUAACUAUUUAAUCUGUUUAUAAAUGGAGGGAAUGAGGCAAGGAGCAUUCUGUCAAUCCAGUUCUACCAAUUUCUAUAUAUUAUUCCAAUUGCUCAAUUCUAAAACUGUAUUUUAAUAAUUUUGUAAGUUGAUAUAAAGCUAAUAGUAACUGUAAUGUUACAUAGUAUAUUAAAAGUGCUACUCAUAUUUUUAACUUUAAAUAGUAAUAUUUAAGGGGG